Molecule: ribosomal RNA, 460 nt
Filed under: uncultured bacterium
Lineage: Bacteria
Description: partial 16S ribosomal RNA
Rfam family: Bacterial small subunit ribosomal RNA
Source: RNAcentral
CCUACGGGUGGCAGCAGUGAGGAAUAUUGGUCAAUGGGCGCGAGCCUGAACCAGCCAAGUCGCGUGAGGGAAGACGGUCCUAUGGAUUGUAAACCUCUUUUGUCGGGGAGCAAAAGACGCCACGCGUGGCGUUCCGAGAGUACCCGAAGAAAAAGCAUCGGCUAACUCCGUGCCAGCAGCCGCGGUAAUACGGAGGAUGCGAGCGUUAUCCGGAUUUAUUGGGUUUAAAGGGUGCGCAGGCGGUUUGUUAAGUCAGCGGUGAAAUUGAGCGGCUCAACCUCUUAAGUGCAAUUGAUACGGGCAGUCUUGAGCAUAGUUGAGGUAGGCGGAAUUGGUGGUGUAGCGGGGAAAUGCUUAGAGAUCACGAAGAACUCCGAUUGCGAAGGCAGCUUACUAAUCUGCCACUGACAUUGAGGAUCGAAAGUGUGGGUAUCAAACAGGAGUAGAUACCCGAGUAGUC